GAGCCACCCAGGUUCCCCCUGAGUGCAUACCUUAACUUCUCUAUGUUUUAAUUUUCUGAUUCCUAACAUCACAAAACUUAGACAUAAUUAACGCACCUUGUCCUUUGAACGGGGCUACUGUAAGGGUUUGUUGGGUAAUGUGUGGAAAACCAUUUAACAUUAUAAAGCAGUUUACCCUUAUAGGGACUUCUUAUUUUCUUUUCAAAAUGCCAUUAAAAACAUUUUUUUUAACGUUUAUUCACUUUUUUUGAAAGAGAGAGACACAGCACAAGCAGGGGUGGGGACAGAGAGAGAGGGAAACACAGAAUACGAAGCAGGCUCCAGGCUCUGAGCUGUCAGCACAGAGCCCGACGUGGGGCUCGAACUCAUGGACUGUGAGAUCAUGACCCGAGCCGAAGUCGGACGCACAACCGACUGAGCCGCCCAAGCACCCCUCAAAAUGCCAUUUUAAAAAAUUCUAUUACAUCGACUAAAACUGCUUCCAAUUUUUUUUUUCUGCAUUCUCCAGGAACACUGAUUUUAAUGAACCAACCCACAAGCGUUGCGUAAUUUGAAAGUUGUGGCCCCUGAAUGAGCGCUUCCAGGGAGAAGCUACUAGAAGCCCUGGCUAAUCAGACACCUGCCUGCCUGCAUUCCAGCUAAUGAUCACAAACCAAAGGCAGAGGGAGCACAGUGCAAAGGAAGGCUGGUGGUACCUGAUAAAUAGAAAAGGCAAGAGUCUACUACGGACCAGGAGCGGAAAACCACGGACGCUUCUGAGAGUAAUUAAUCCCCACUGCACAGUCUCCUGUGCAGAGUUUGGAGGAAAAACUCUUCAGCAGAGUUUGGAGGAAAAGCCUUCAUUUGGAGCAAAUAGGUGGCAGGGAACAACUUGGACAGUGACUUUCCCUGCUGUGAUGAAUGAGGCCGCCUCCCAUCAGAAGGCAGAAGUGCCUACCGCUAGUGUGGGUGUUGGCUAGAAUCCUUUUCAUCUACGGGGAGACCUCACCAUAGCGUGCGAAGCGGUCUCCUCAGCACUUAACGGGGUAAUGAGAUCAAUGGAGUGAGGCUUCACGCUAGGUCAAUGACCAAUUAACCAGUGACGGUUUCAUUUUUGAGAAUGGUGUGAAUUACGGAGCUGGCGUGAUUCUUUUUCCAGAUCAAACCCAGAUGUCAACUCUCCUUAUUCGAUAGCCCAUUUUUUUCCCCACUAACUUAAAUGGCUUCUUAAAUUAUUUACUAAAAAUCUACACUGAUCUGGACCCUAUAGGUUUCAGGCUCUAUGUCAAUUGAUUAUUGGUCUGCUGCUGCGUCAUUGACACGCUUUGAAAAUUAUGAUAACCUUAGGGUAUAUUUUGGUAUCCUGGAGCCAAUCCUUCCACCGUCGUGCCUUUUCCAAAUUUCUUGGCUUCCCCUAUGGGUUUUCACCUCCGCUCGAUAUUUUAAAAGGAUCAGUUUUAUUGAGGCAUCGCUUACAUACAACAAAAUUAGUGGGAAAUAAAGUUAUUGUACAAUUCGAUGGGGUGUGACA
Molecule: long non-coding RNA, 1510 nt
Filed under: Felis catus (domestic cat)
Lineage: Eukaryota; Metazoa; Chordata; Mammalia; Carnivora; Felidae
Description: lncRNA (ENSFCAG00000050486.1)
Source: RNAcentral